Molecule: long non-coding RNA, 2231 nt
Organism: Oreochromis aureus
Lineage: Eukaryota; Metazoa; Chordata; Actinopteri; Cichliformes; Cichlidae
Source: Ensembl
CUCUGACUCUUUCCUUCCUGCUCAAAGUUCCUUUUUUUUCCUUGGUGUUUGUGGCUGAUGCUGAUCGUCUCCGUGUGAAGCUCCGUGUGAAGGUAACCUUCGCAGUGUGUAAUGUUUCCUGGCUAACAUCAGCUGUGUGCGGCUUAGUUUCAGCACGCACAGCACACAUCUGCCGCUCCAUAGUUCACGGUAACGGACUCACAGCUGGACCAACGAGGCCGACCGUUAAACUGUUGCCUUGCUGAUAGCCUCUGUGUGGACAGGGUGGAGUUCAACAUGUGGGCGUAGAUGGAGGGAGCAGCUGUGUAGGUGGACAGGUUUAUUUCUGGACUCCUGCUGAUGGUUUCUAUUGCGGGUUUGCACAUGACGUCAUGCUGUCAAGGUAGUGAUCACGUUCAUCAGAAUCAGAAAGUCUGUUGUUAUUGUCGCAGGUACAAAGAAAUUAAAAGCAGUCACUUAUAUGUGCUUAGACAUAAAAACUACAUAGAAAUGAUCACGACUUUUUCACCCUCACAACUCAAAUAUUACACAUUACAGGUGUGUGCAGCACUCAUCGAGGACAGAAAGAGAAUCUUUUUUUCAUCUCUUUCCUGUUUCUGACAGAAGACGAGGAACAAAAACAUGAUAAUUAACAGAUACAGUCAUCAGAUAAACAGUAUAAAAGUAUUGUAAGUAUUAGGAGUAAAAGUAUUUGGAUUUUUAAAGGUCAAACAAUAUUUGAUGAUUAAAAAUCUUUACAUUUUUAUUUUCCUUUUUUCUUUCUAUCCUUUUUUUAAAUUUAAUUUUAUUUACUUUUCAUCAUCUUCAUCUGCCUCCAGCACCACCUUCAGCUUCUCCCUUCCAUCUGAAACUCUUCCUCCUCACUGAAGUUAGGCUUCUAAUGUGAAAAAUCCUACAUGAAUAUACUUGAUUCAUCUCGAUAUUGCCUCAAUUAGUCAGCAGCUCGAAUAACUGUGGUUUUCAGGGUUUUCCAUACCUACUCCACUGGGGUUGCAAGGUGAUCCAAGCAGGUGCUAAAAUGUGGCAUUGCCAGGCUGUAUGCCACUGACUGACUGAUUCACUGUCACCACAACAUGUGUCAUGAGACAGUCUCCUUCAAACAAAUCAAACUCACCAUGUUUAAGAUGGCAGUGAAAGAAACGGAUGGGCAGAAAGCAGCACUGUGGUCAAAUGAAGAGGUGCAGACCUUUUUGUGCACAGUGGCUGAAGAAAAAAUUCAGAUGAAGCUGGAUGAAGUGAUCCGCAUUGCAAAGGUUGGCUGCUAAAGGGACCAAUGCACAGUAACCAGUGGCUUUAAAAACGUUAAAAACUGAAAAGUGAUUACCGGGCCAUCAAGGACCACAAUGGCCGACGUGGGUCCAACAGACAGGACAGGAAGUGGUUUAAUCAAACGGGCGUCAUUUAUGGGCACUGACCAGCGAGCACCUGGAGUGAGAGUGGCCUCGACUCACUGCUGGAGAACAUGGUGACGUUUGUGAGUGCUUUGUGUGUUUAAUCAUAAUAUAGUACCAUUGGUGAUGUGUUCACUUUGAACAAGCCAUGUUUCAGUAACACUGUUGUCUCAGAUAAAAAGCUAGCUAGUUCCCUGUUUGUGCUAACUCCAUCCUCUGCUAGUUUUCUGUGCUUACUGAGAGAACAACAUAAAGCAACAGCUGAAGAACUACGCUUUCCCCCAGUUUAAUGUCAUUUGUGUCCUUUUGCUGUGAAACCUUUUCUACAUGCGAGGGCUUUUCAUACAUUUGGAUUAGCAUGGACCUCCAAGCUCCCCUGUUUGUGCUCCAGCUGCAGUUGGUGCAGCAACGCAGACACUGCAAUGCCCCAUCACUGGUAAGAAAUGGUGAUGAAAUUUCAUAUUAUGUUGACUUUAGCAGUGGUGGAGGAAGUGCACUUUUGUUUAAUUUUCUUUCCUCCACUGUAUUUUUGCUCCAUUUUUCCCAUAAUUCCUCUUGCAUUGCAUUGACCUUCCAUUCUGCCUUUCCUGAAGGCGAGAGGAAGAGGACACAAUCUACACCUGACUGUACUAGUGUGCUUGUUGAGAUCUGGCAGUGGAUGUGUUGAACCGGGAAUAUUGAGAAUACCGUGAGGCAUGGCAGCAGAGGGCGUAGGGAGGAAAAGGCAAAACGGCACAGGCCGCAGCCUUCAGUUAGGCAUCCCUGAGUGUGGUCGGUUACCUUGCUUCAGUAAUGCGUGGCCACUGUGGCUGAUGUUUCAUCUCAUCCAUGGACUUUACC